RNAcentral lists this long non-coding RNA (308 nucleotides) under Dromaius novaehollandiae (emu). RNAcentral's name for it is "lncRNA (ENSDNVG00000016150.1)". The record is from RNAcentral. Lineage: Eukaryota; Metazoa; Chordata; Aves; Casuariiformes; Dromaiidae.
GCAAUGUAAUCCUCUGUGAUGUGGUGAGAUGAGUCCAUGAACAGUGGCUGAUGAAGGCAGUGGAUACGGCCCUUGUUUGCGGAGGAAUGGAAAAAUAGCUUGGGUCAGUGAUGCAAAGUUCAGGCAUAGGUUAAGAAGUACUAAACAAAGUCACUGAUUUUCUUCGUUCAUCAUCAUUCUCAGAUAAAUGCACUGGAUCUUGUAUUCUCCCCAACCUUGUUUUGUCCUGCUGAACUGAUAAAAACAACAUAGGAAAGACUGAUACGAAUUAAAAGAGCCRGUAGUAGCCAAAAUCUUCUGAACUGAGC